AGAUUUGAUUUAAUUUUUAUUUCCUUCCUUUUGAAUACACUCCCUAAAAUAACCUUUUAGGGAAUUAAGUGUUUCAAAUCGUUUACUGUGAAGAAAUUAGAGUGUUCAAAGCAGGCGUAACCUAGCCUUUGAAUAUAUUAGCAUGGGAUAAUGAAAUAGGACUUUAGUUCUACUUUCGUUGGUUUCUAGGGCUGAAGUAAUGAUUAAUAGGGAUAGUUGGGGUCACUAGUAUUUAAUUGUCAGAGGUGAAAUUCUAAGAUUUAUUAAAGACUAACUACUGCGAAAGCAUUUGACAAGGAUGUUUUCAUUAAUCAAGAACGAAAGUUGGGGGAUCGAAGAUGAUCAGAUACCGUCGUAGUCUCAACCAUAAACUAUGCCGACCAAGGAUCCGGGGUUGUUAAUAUGGAUGACUCUCCGGGCACUUAUAGAGAAAUCAUAAGUAUUUGGGCUCCGGGGGGAGUAUGGUCGCAAGGCUGAAACUUAAAGGAAUUGACGGAAGGGCACCACAAGGAGUGGAACCUGCGGUUUAAUUUGACUCAACACGGGAAAACUUACCAGGUCCAGACACAGUGAGGAUUGACAGAUUGAGAGUUCUUUCUUGAUUCUGUGAGUGGUGGUGCAUGGCCGUUUCUAGUUGGUGGAGUGAUUUGUCUGGUUAAUUCCGUUAACGAACGAGACCUUAACCUAUUAAAUAGUUACUUAAACUUGAUUUCUUGUAAAUCAAAUGUUUAAUUAACUUCUUAGAGGGACUCUUCAC
RNAcentral lists this ribosomal RNA (757 nucleotides) under uncultured eukaryote. Its description in RNAcentral is "bacterial SSU rRNA". It matches the Rfam family "Eukaryotic small subunit ribosomal RNA", at positions 670 to 1427 of the family's 1831-position model. The record is from RNAcentral.